Octopus sinensis (East Asian common octopus) is the source of this 150-nucleotide long non-coding RNA. RefSeq lists it as uncharacterized. The record is from RefSeq and is a predicted model, not a curated record. The transcript has 3 exons. Lineage: Eukaryota; Metazoa; Mollusca; Cephalopoda; Octopoda; Octopodidae.
GGAAUAGUUUUAUUCAUCAAAGUAUGCACCCAUAUUGUCAAUACACUUUUGCCAUUUCAUUGGUAGCUUGACCAGCCCGGGACUGUAAAAGUCUGGCAAUCUAGAGUCAAUGAAAUCUUAGAAGGCCUGUUUUGCAGCAUUGUCAGAAUA